UCUCUCAGAUAAUGAUGCAGCAGAAGAAAAUAUCUCUUUUAGAGUCUCAAAGUCUAGCCUUACUUUGUAGGAAGUACCACCCUCUCUCUAUCGUAGGCACAUUUAGUACAGAAAUUCUUGAGAGUGCGCGUGGAAUACUGCCAUUAAUUUUAGUCACUUUUCAGGGCAGACAGCUGACUUUAUAAAACGUAAUUGCUGAGAUGUAAAAUAUAAAGAUGGUGCAUUUAAAAAAGUAAUCACCAUAAGUAAUUGGAGUAUUUUCCUAUGUUGUUGUUGUUAAUCAUAUUUAUGUUUAGUGUCAAGGUUUGAGCCUCACUGUGAUAGGCAUUGUAAAAACAAGGAGAAAUAAGCGGUCAUUCGUCAUACAGCACAUAUAGUCCACGUGGGACAAGUGAAGGGAGGAUUCCUCGUGGUUCCUCAUCAGAAGACCUAGAACUUCUUCUGGUCUAUUACAGGGAAUUUACCAUUUAAGGAGAGUGUAUUUGGAGGCCUGAAUCGCUGAUUUACACAUUCACCUCAAAGCAGGUCAAAACCUUGGAAAGAGAAUGCUCGUCAAAGGUCAUUAAAGCACUGUCAGUAAGCACUGGGUGUGAAGAUAUCAAAUAAGAAAAUAGUAGGCAGAACUGAAGUGCUUCAGAAGGGUUCAGUCUGCAAGAAACCUUGUGUGGAUACAAUCUUGAACAGCAAAAACGGAUACCAUCACAGUGACGAUAAACCCAGGGCAAAAGAGAUUAAAAUAGUUGGGUGAACUGUCUCAGCAAGCAACGGUUCAUAGGAGAGCAUUCAUCUGCACUUUCUCAAGACUAUGUGUGCGUAAUUGCAGCACUUACAAUGAACAUCAGCAACAGUACAUUGAACAAUAUAACUGUUUGGAGUACAGCCAGUAAACUAUGUAAUUUAUUUUAUGCUGGUCUAAAAUGUUCUAAUGUGUGAUAGCUUGUGGAUAUGGACAACAUAAAAUUCUUGUGACAUAACAAAUUGUAAUACAGUGUGGUUUCCCAUUAUGGCAUUAUCUCAAGCAACUUUUACAAAGCAAUGAGUUGGGUACUCGGAGGCUGUGGCUACAUAUGCAGAAGAAACCUUUAAAUAAUCCACAAAUAAUAAAUUAUCUGACAUGCAGCUUGGCCUACUACAAAACAGCAUUUAAAAGAAAGGAGUCUGGGGCAUGUAAAAUUUUCUUUUUUUCCACUCUUUUCAAACAGUGAAAUAGAUGCUUCCACAU
Alligator mississippiensis (American alligator) is the source of this 1222-nucleotide long non-coding RNA. RefSeq lists it as uncharacterized. NCBI's taxonomy places the organism in Eukaryota, Metazoa, Chordata, Crocodylia, Alligatoridae. The transcript has 6 exons. The record is from RefSeq and is a predicted model, not a curated record.